UGUCAUUGCAAAGUGCAGCAGCUCAAGUGGAGCCCAACAUGGACCUCAUCUACCUGCUAACGCUUUCUCUCGACCUUUAUUACACAGAAGAUGAGAUUUAUGAGCUGUCAUUGCUCAGGGAACCACGUAACCCUAAAUCAUUGCUGGCAGACCUUAUAUAGGCAGAUGUUGUGUGUCUUUCCAAAUCAUGUCCAGUCAACUGAACUGAUGACCGAAAUACAAUCUGAAAGAUGAUCAAGAGAAAUAGGAGCUGUCUUCUCCAACGACUCCCAAUAAGCCCCUGGCCCCACUUGACUGGGCCUCAGGUAUCACCACCAAACCAGACCCCUCUCUAGUCAAUAAACACAUCAGGAAGGUGGUGGAUUCUGUCUUCAGGAAUUAUGACCAUG
Molecule: long non-coding RNA, 389 nt
Organism: Hippoglossus stenolepis (Pacific halibut)
Lineage: Eukaryota; Metazoa; Chordata; Actinopteri; Pleuronectiformes; Pleuronectidae
Exons: 5
Source: RefSeq, a predicted model, not a curated record